RNAcentral lists this ribosomal RNA (434 nucleotides) under uncultured Butyrivibrio sp. Its description in RNAcentral is "partial 16S ribosomal RNA". It matches the Rfam family "Bacterial small subunit ribosomal RNA", at positions 341 to 792 of the family's 1533-position model. Lineage: Bacteria; Bacillati; Bacillota; Clostridia; Lachnospirales; Lachnospiraceae. The record is from RNAcentral.
ACGGAAGGCAGCAGUGGGGAAUAUUGCACAAUGGGGGAAACCCUGAUGCAGCGACGCCGCGUGAGUGAAGAAGUAUCUCGGUAUGUAAAGCUCUAUCAGCAGGGAAGAAAAUGACGGUACCUGACUAAGAAGCCCCGGCUAACUACGUGCCAGCAGCCGCGGUAAUACGUAGGGGACAAGCGUUAUCCGGAUUUACUGGGUGUAAAGGGUGCGUAGGCGGCAAAGCAAGUCAGAAGUGAAAGCCCGCGGCUCAACUGCGGGACUGCUUUUGAAACUGUUUAGCUAGAGUACUGGAGGGGCAAGCGGAAUUCCUGGUGUAGCGGUGAAAUGCGUAGAUAUCAGGAAGAACACCGGAGGCGAAGGCGGCUUGCUGGACAGAGACUGACGCUGAGGCACGAAGGCGUGGGGAGCAAACAGGAUUAGAUACCCUGGUA